ACGUACGCUGGCGGCACGCCUAACACAUGCAAGUCGUGCGAGAAAGUAUCUUCGGAUAUAAGUAAAGCGGCGGACGGGUGAGUAACGCGUAGGAAUCUACCUAGUAGAAGGGGAUAGCCCGAGGAAACUCGGAUUAAUACCGUAUACCUCCUUCGGGAGAAAGAAGGCCUCUCUUUGAAGCUUUCGCUACUAGAUGAGCCUGCGUAAGAUUAGCUUGUUGGUGAGGUAAAGGCUCACCAAGGCUACGAUCAAUAGCUGAUUUGAGAGGAUGAUCAGCCACAUUGGGACUGAGACACGGCCCAAACUCCUACGGGAGGCAGCAGUGGGGAAUCUUGC
Molecule: ribosomal RNA, 336 nt
Filed under: uncultured Oceanospirillales bacterium
Lineage: Bacteria; Pseudomonadati; Pseudomonadota; Gammaproteobacteria; Oceanospirillales
Description: SSU rRNA
Rfam family: Bacterial small subunit ribosomal RNA
Source: RNAcentral